GACCUUGUGUUGCAACGGUAGCGCGUAUGACUCCAGAUCAGAAGGUUGCGUGUUCAAAUCACGUAGGGAUCA
RNAcentral lists this transfer RNA (72 nucleotides) under Xenopus laevis (African clawed frog). It matches the Rfam family "tRNA". Rfam says of the family: Transfer RNA (tRNA) molecules are approximately 80 nucleotides in length. Their secondary structure includes four short double-helical elements and three loops (D, anti-codon, and T loops). The record is from Rfam by way of RNAcentral. Lineage: Eukaryota; Metazoa; Chordata; Amphibia; Anura; Pipidae.